This 604-nucleotide ribosomal RNA is filed under the name Klebsiella pneumoniae. RNAcentral's name for it is "bacterial SSU rRNA". It matches the Rfam family "Bacterial small subunit ribosomal RNA", at positions 928 to 1532 of the family's 1533-position model. The record is from RNAcentral. Lineage: Bacteria; Pseudomonadati; Pseudomonadota; Gammaproteobacteria; Enterobacterales; Enterobacteriaceae.
AGCGGUGGAGCAUGUGGUUUAAUUCGAUGCAACGCGAAGAACCUUACCUGGUCUUGACAUCCACAGAACUUUCCAGAGAUGGAUUGGUGCCUUCGGGAACUGUGAGACAGGUGCUGCAUGGCUGUCGUCAGCUCGUGUUGUGAAAUGUUGGGUUAAGUCCCGCAACGAGCGCAACCCUUAUCCUUUGUUGCCAGCGGUCCGGCCGGGAACUCAAAGGAGACUGCCAGUGAUAAACUGGAGGAAGGUGGGGAUGACGUCAAGUCAUCAUGGCCCUUACGACCAGGGCUACACACGUGCUACAAUGGCAUAUACAAAGAGAAGCGACCUCGCGAGAGCAAGCGGACCUCAUAAAGUAUGUCGUAGUCCGGAUUGGAGUCUGCAACUCGACUCCAUGAAGUCGGAAUCGCUAGUAAUCGUAGAUCAGAAUGCUACGGUGAAUACGUUCCCGGGCCUUGUACACACCGCCCGUCACACCAUGGGAGUGGGUUGCAAAAGAAGUAGGUAGCUUAACCUUCGGGAGGGCGCUUACCACUUUGUGAUUCAUGACUGGGGUGAAGUCGUAACAAGGUAACCGUAGGGGAACCUGCGGUUGGAUCACCUCCUU